UGGGGAAUCUUGGACAAUGGGGGCAACCCUGAUCCAGCCAUGCCGCGUGAGUGAUGAAGGCCUUAGGGUCGUAAAGCUCUUUCGCCUGUGAAGAUAAUGACGGUAGCAGGUAAAGAAACCCCGGCUAACUCCGUGCCAGCAGCCGCGGUAAUACGGAGGGGGUUAGCGUUGUUCGGAAUUACUGGGCGUAAAGCGCACGUAGGCGGAUCGGAAAGUUGGGGGUGAAAUCCCGGGGGCUCAACCCCGGAACUGCCUCCAAAACUAUUGGUCUAGAGUUCGAGAGAGGUGAGUGGAAUUCCAAGUGUAGAGGUGAAAUUCGUAGAUAUUUGGAGGAACACCAGUGGCGAAGGCGGCUCACUGGCUCGAUACUGACCUGAGGUGCGAAAGUGUGGGGAGCAAACAGGAUUAGAUACCCUGGUAGUCCACACCGUAAAACGAUGAAUGCCAGUCGUCGGGUAGCAUGCUAUUCGGUGACACACCUAACGGAUUAAGCAUUCCGCCUGGGGAGUACGGUCG
Molecule: ribosomal RNA, 516 nt
Filed under: uncultured bacterium
Lineage: Bacteria
Description: bacterial SSU rRNA
Rfam family: Bacterial small subunit ribosomal RNA
Source: RNAcentral